Molecule: ribosomal RNA, 361 nt
Filed under: uncultured bacterium
Lineage: Bacteria
Description: bacterial SSU rRNA
Rfam family: Bacterial small subunit ribosomal RNA
Source: RNAcentral
AACGAACGCUGGCGGCAGGCCUAACACAUGCAAGUCGAACGCCCGUAGCAAUACGGGAGUGGCAGACGGGUGAGUAACGCGUGGGAACGUGCCCUUCGGUUCGGAAUAACUCAGGGAAACUUGAGCUAAUACCGGAUACGUCCGUAAGGAGAAAGAUUUAUCGCCGAAGGAUCGGCCCGCGUCGGAUUAGCUAGUUGGUGAGGUAACGGCCCACCAAGGCGACGAUCCGUAGCUGGUCUGAGAGGAUGAUCAGCCACACUGGGACUGAGACACGGCCCAGACUCCUACGGGAGGCAGCAGGUGGGGAAUAUUGGACAAUGGGCGAAAGCCUGAUCCAGCCAUGCCGCGUGAGUGAAGAAGG